Molecule: long non-coding RNA, 1398 nt
Organism: Pygocentrus nattereri (red-bellied piranha)
Lineage: Eukaryota; Metazoa; Chordata; Actinopteri; Characiformes; Serrasalmidae
Exons: 2
Source: RefSeq, a predicted model, not a curated record
UUCGCCUCCUGCUGCUCGUGUAACCGUAUUAUUUUUGCUCUUUCAAAUUUUUUUAUUGUUAUUUUAGAUACUUGCAGAAAUAUUUAAUAGUUUGAUGUGAACUCCCUCAAAGCUUUAACACAAAAUUAUAUGUGCGUUUUAAGCUCAGUUCUCUGUAAAAAAAGUUUUCUUUUGGGGUUCCCCCUUUAUUUGUUGUACAUGGGGCACUAAUUAGCGCUACACCACGCCUGAAAGCUGUGUGCUUUCCCGGGCUAUUCAGUCACACGGUGACCGCUGGACUGGAGAGGGAGAGAGAGCGUGAGCCUGUCUGCCUGCGUGCGUGUGUGUUAUGCUAACUCUGCCCCAUGUUUUGUGCUCAGGUAUGUUUUACUAGUAGUUUAAGUGUUUACAACUAGUUUUUAAUCCAGAAUUUUGAUGGAUUUAGUCAGUUUAAGUAAUUUAGUUCUAAAAAUGGCCACUUGUUGCUCAUUGUGAUUUAAUAUAUGUCUCCAUAUGUGAUAAAUAUACCCUCUUGUGUAGUGUUCUAUAUAAUUUUAUACGGUAUCCAAGGUCUCUAUCUGGCCAGUUUAAAUUAGCUUGAGUUUACAUUGUAAUGCAUUUUAUUUACAGUAUAAAAUAUUUACAUUUUAUUUACUGUAUAAAAUAUUUUCAUUUUAUCUACAAUACAAAAUAUUAACAUUUUAUGUACACUGUGUGAUAUUUACGUGUGUUCUGGUUGUGAUAUCUCCGCGGCUGGUUUUGUUUAUUUCUUCUACCGAUCCUCUGUUGUGCUCGAUGUGGGGUUGGACUUGGUUGAAUUGAUGUAAAAAAAAAAAAAAAAAAAAAGGAAAACUGACACAGUCACACGGUGACCGCUGGACUGGAGAGGGAGAGAGAGCGUGAGCCUGUCUGCCUGCGUGCGUGUGUGUUAUGCUAACUCUGCCCCAUGUUUUGUGCUCAGUUCCAGCAAUAAAAUCCUGAAGUCUGACUCUCCAUUGUGGUGUGGCUGAUCUCUGAUUGUCCGAACCUGUUUACGUCUGCUACACUCGCGAACACCGCCCGGAAACAAAAGGACAUUUUAAAGUCGUGGAGAAACAAAUAAGAAGCUGCAGUCGCGGGAUUUGGUCAAAAUCUUUCCGUCUCGCCCAGAAUAUCUGAUCAAAUCAGCCGACUGAGUACAAGGGACCGUCUGUAAAGUGCGGGACUGCGUCAACGUUGGUUUGGACCACGUUGAUUUCUACCGGCUGCUGAGACCUCGACGAGAACUAGUUAAGGGGCCGUCUACAAAGUACACUACAGUAAAGUUGCAAGUCGGGUGAAGACCAGCGGGGGAAAAGCACGUUAUUAAAACUCAGCCUUAUGGGCCACAGAAUGUCUGCCGAUCACAACAUGGAAUUAAAGUUUUAGAAAAGAGCUGUA